AGGGAUCAUGUCUUGGCUGUUCAUAGAAUCCUUCAAAUGCAUGUACUUGUUGGUUCCUUGCAUAACCAUAAUUCGGAUGGUCUCUCCAAUAUGGAUUGUAUGUAUUAUGGUAGGGAUCAUGUCUUGGCUAUUCAUAGAAUCCUCCAUAUGCAUGAACUGGUUGGUCAUCCUCAUAAAGUGUAGGACAUUGGGACGUUAGAUAUCCCACAUAUCCACAGAUCUUACAUGGUUGAGACUGCUGAAGUCGUCGCUCCUGUAGAGCUAUGACAUAGCUUUCCACAAUAGAGGUUAGGUCAGAAAUUUGAGAAAGGGGUUAUAUGUACUUACCUCAUCCAUGAAUCAAUUCUGCGAU
This 352-nucleotide long non-coding RNA is filed under the name Manihot esculenta (cassava). Its description in RNAcentral is "long non-coding RNA (MESC_LNC004778)". The record is from RNAcentral. Lineage: Eukaryota; Viridiplantae; Streptophyta; Magnoliopsida; Malpighiales; Euphorbiaceae.